CCUACGGGGGGCUGCAGUGGGGAAUAUUGCACAAUGGGCGCAAGCCUGAUGCAGCCAUGCCGCGUGUGUGAAGAAGGCCUUCGGGUUGUAAAGCACUUUCAGCGGGGAGGAAGGCGGUGAGGUUAAUAACCUCAUCGAUUGACGUUACCCGCAGAAGAAGCACCGGCUAACUCCGUGCCAGCAGCCGCGGUAAUACGGAGGGUGCAAGCGUUAAUCGGAAUUACUGGGCGUAAAGCGCACGCAGGCGGUCUGUCAAGUCGGAUGUGAAAUCCCCGGGCUCAACCUGGGAACUGCAUUCGAAACUGGCAGGCUAGAGUCUUGUAGAGGGGGGUAGAAUUCCAGGUGUAGCGGUGAAAUGCGUAGAGACCUGGAGGAAUACCGGUGGCGAAGGCGGCCCCCUGGACAAAGACUGACGCUCAGGUGCGAAAGCGUGGGGAGCAAACAGGAUUAGAUACCCGAGUAGUC
Molecule: ribosomal RNA, 465 nt
Filed under: uncultured Klebsiella sp.
Lineage: Bacteria; Pseudomonadati; Pseudomonadota; Gammaproteobacteria; Enterobacterales; Enterobacteriaceae
Description: bacterial SSU rRNA
Rfam family: Bacterial small subunit ribosomal RNA
Source: RNAcentral